Molecule: non-coding RNA, 28 nt
Filed under: Rattus norvegicus (Norway rat)
Lineage: Eukaryota; Metazoa; Chordata; Mammalia; Rodentia; Muridae
Source: RNAcentral
UACCAUGCUCCUUGGUUGAUAUCCACGC